This 465-nucleotide ribosomal RNA is filed under the name uncultured bacterium. RNAcentral describes it as "partial 16S ribosomal RNA". It matches the Rfam family "Bacterial small subunit ribosomal RNA", at positions 28 to 507 of the family's 1533-position model. The record is from RNAcentral.
GACGAACGCUGGCGGCGUGCUUAACACAUGCAAGUCGAACGGAAAGGCCCUGCUUGCAGGGUACUCGAGUGGCGAACGGGUGAGUAACACGUGGGUGAUCUGCUCUGCACUUCGGGAUAAGCCUGGGAAACUGGGUCUAAUACCGGAUAGGAGCCAUUUUUAGUGUGAUGGUUGGAAAGUUUUUUCGGUGUAGGAUGAGCUCGCGGCCUAUCAGCUUGUUGGUGGGGUAAUGGCCUACCAAGGCGGCGACGGGUAGCUGGCCUGAGAGGGUGGACGGCCACAUUGGGACUGAGAUACGGCCCAGACGCCUACGGGAGGCAGCAGUGGGGAAGAUUGCACAAUGGGCGCAAGCCUGAUGCAGCGACGCCGCGUGGGGGAUGACGGCCUUCGGGUUGUAAAUUCCUUUCGCUAGGGACGAAGCUUUUUGUGACGGUACCUAGAUAAGAAGCACCGGCUAACUACGUG